UCACAUAUUACUGACCAUUUUUGUAACCAGUUCGGUUGGUUAGUAAUUUUUGACCACUUUUUGUCCAUUUUUUUAAAUCAUCAUGAAAUGGUCAAUUAGUGGUUGGAAAUAUUUUUGACUAAUUUAUCUGGUCAGGAUUUUGGUCAGAAUAUGUUAUGUUUCCUUGUAGUGUGUAGCCUCUUCCGAGAAGAGACUUAAAGCAUGCGCAGCGGAAGUUCACAGAAGAAAAAAAAAAUAUUAAAAUAAGUAUAACCGAUGAGCUCGGUUCGUCUCGCAUCUUCUGCGCAAAACCCUUUUUCCUAAAGUUCAUCACUGUAGUGCGGGUUCCACGACACGUGACGGCCUUGGUCUAAUUUUUUUUUUUUUUUUAAAUCAAAAAAAAAAAGAAAAAAAUUUAAUAAUAAAAAAUUGAAAAAAUGAACCCCAAAAGAGAGUUUACUGAUGCUCUUGCUCUUAACCAACCAAGAACCGACGUAUCCAUUUGCACCUGUCGCGCAAUACGUCAUCAUUUUCUUCCGUCUCCGUUAGAUUCCAUCGUCUCUCUUCUUUGUCUUCUUCAAAUGCCAAUGUUGGUUUACACUUUACAGUGUAGAUUAUUGAUUUUGGCCUGUAACGCAUACCCACCGUUUUUUUGUGUGUCUGUGCUAUUUUAAUAUUGCCUUGGUUUGGUGUUACCUUUUUAUUUAUGUUUUGACAAAAGGUGUGUGUUACUGUGUUUCCAAAACCUGACAUUUGGAGGACUUUAAUCUCUUAUGGGACAAAGGACCAAAAAAAAAUCUACAACCACCAAAACUAAUAUCUUAUGGGACAAGUGAGUGUAAAUUAUGAUUUUACCCUUAAUGAAAGUUCAAUAUCAACUAUUAGAUCAAAAUCAUUCACGUUAUAAUCUGAACCGUCGGAUUUUUAAGGAUAAAAUAUUUACAACAAU
This 928-nucleotide long non-coding RNA is filed under the name Brassica rapa (field mustard). Its description in RNAcentral is "long non-coding RNA (BRAP_LNC000212)". The record is from RNAcentral. Lineage: Eukaryota; Viridiplantae; Streptophyta; Magnoliopsida; Brassicales; Brassicaceae.